This 27-nucleotide small RNA is filed under the name Bombyx mori (domestic silkworm). Its description in RNAcentral is "ovarian small RNA-23646". The record is from RNAcentral. Lineage: Eukaryota; Metazoa; Arthropoda; Insecta; Lepidoptera; Bombycidae.
UAUCGACAUAGCUCGUCAGGUGUCGCU